This is a long non-coding RNA of Macaca mulatta (Rhesus monkey), 1713 nucleotides long. NCBI's taxonomy places the organism in Eukaryota, Metazoa, Chordata, Mammalia, Primates, Cercopithecidae. The record is from Ensembl.
AUGAAACUUACUUUAUGGUUAUUGAAGAGUCUCGGUGAUUUCCUUGGUUGGAAAUACUUUAUUGACCCAAGUGGCAGGAAGACCACUCAGCACAGAGGACUGUUCCCAAAUAGGGAAAAAUGGGAUGUAGCCAUCAGACCCAUGCCUUCUCAUAUGAUGGAGAGUGGUGACUCUUCUCUGCUGAUCUAUGUUUACACAGUCAACUCUCAGGCAGGAUUCUCAACUGGACCAUACAAUGUGAACAUGGCAGAGGAUGCCUCAGGUGUAGAAGUCAUGUUAAGCCACUUGCAAUACCAGGGACUGAAGAAAGCUGAGAACCUGACAACUCCAUGUUUCAACUUGGAAAAAGAUAGAUAACUGUGGACAGCCCAUCUGGAAUUGUCUUCAAUCUCAUAAGCAUGAGGAACUGACCAAUCUCCAAUUGUUUCCUCUCUCUGAUUAUACGAAAUCAGCCAGUGAAGAUAGAGUUUAGGACAGGGAAUGAUGGGACCAUUAGCGAUCUAAAUUUCAGAACAUUUAAGAGACUCCUACUCGUUGAUAACUCACGUUCUGGUCUAGUAUCAAUGGUAUUCCUUUAUGCAUUCACUAAUCGCCAGAAGGAUACGUAUGCCUGAUUUCUUCUCUAUGGAGUCCCCUAUGUCUAAAACCGAAGGGAGAGGCAGUGAGGCUUAGACCGUAUUUCAGAAAAAAAAAAAAAAAAAAAAAAAAGCCUUUUAAGUGACACAGCCAAUGAAAAUAAUAAAGAAAAAAAAGAAACUUACUGAGUGCUAGAAGUACUGAGUUUACUUUAGGGAUUAGAUACUAGUCUGAGCACAUUGUACCACAAAUAUUCAGUAUUCAGUUCAAAUGCUUCUUUCUUUAUUUUCUUUUUUCUUUUUUUUUAAGACUGAGUGUUGCUCCUGUUGCCCAGGCUGGAGUUCAGUAACAAGAUCUUGGCUGACUGCAACCUCCACCUCCCAGGUUCAAGCAAUUCUCCUGCCUCAGCCUCCUGAGUAGCUGGGAUUACAGGUGUCUGCCACCACGCCCAGCUAUUUUUUUGUAUUUUUAGUAGAGACAGGCUUUCCUCAUGUUGGUCAGGCUGUUCUCGAACUCCUGACCUCAGGCGAUCCACCUGCCUCGGCCUCCCAGAGUGCAGGGAUUACAGGUGUGAGCCACUGCUCCCAGCCUCAAAUGCUACUUUCUGUGGGAAUGUUUCCCAGAUAAAAUACAAGGCCUCAAUUAAAUGCACCUUCCUAAUUAAAGCCAAGCACAUGCCACUAUUAUAAUACUUAAUGCUCUGUAUUGUAAUUAGGCUUUUAAAUUGUAUCUUUUUCAGUACACUCAAAGCCUCUUAAGGCAAGGCUUACAUUUUAUAUUCCUAAAUCUUGAGAGAUAGUACUAAGGCUGGUACAUAUUAUGUGCUAAGCCUGGUACAUAUUAUACACUUGAUAAAUAUUUAUUGAAUAAAUGAAUCAAUGAAUAAAUGAAAGAAAAAGAAGAAAGCGUGAAUUAUUUGUUCUAAGAUAGAAUGGCACAGAAAAAUUGUGAAUUGUUUAAAGCUACACAAUGAUUGACUGAUAGAAGAAAGACAUUGAUUGUUGUUUGAGUAGUAAACCAGGAUGCCUGUGCAUUUUAUGAAGUUCUGCCAAAGCCUUUGAAAUGAGGUUAUAUAACAUUGUCCCAGAAUUCCAGGUUUCUACUCUGUAAAAUUGGCAACAUUUUAACUAUGCAACA